GGGAUGCGCCCCAGCCAUCCCCAACAGCGCCAAAGAUCUUUCAGCAAUCGCUGUAAAAGCAAAAUAUUGAGGGAGCUGCGAAGCGCAGAGGAUUUCCGCAAGUGUGGUUUUUGAACGAAUGAACAAAUGAAUGCAUUUACUUGGAAUAUAUUCUCCCUCUUGCUGGAGAGACUUUGCUGGGCAGGUGAAUGUAAUGGAAGCUGGGAGCCCGUCACCCAUUGUAAUGUACUUGGUGACCUUGUCUUUCUUUCUGUGCCCACCUCCACCCAGAUCAAUUCAUGUCGCCAAUAAUACGGAGUCGAGGGGAAGCAGCACCUUUUCUAACUUGCACUAGGCACCCCGGUGUUCCUGUUUCGCUGGCCAUGCCUCUGCCUGCAACGCCCUUUGCCCAGGUUGGUUUUGUUGGACAGAAAAGAAUCUUCCAAUCUUGGGCCUAGAGGGACAUGGUCCGGCUGCUGGCAUGCUUGGAGCCAAGUCACGACAUCACUCUGUGUUUGGGCGCAGAAGGCUCUGAACUAGUUACUGGGCUCUCGCUGUGAACAAGGCAGACACUGUCCCUGCCUUCUCUUGAAACUAUGUUCUGGCAGAAGGGACAAGCAUGAAACAGAAAAAUAAUGCAGUAUCAAUCAUUCCAUAAAAAGUAACAGCUUCAUUGGCAAGUUCUAAGUGUUUUUGUUAAUGAAUCACUCUGAAAGGGAGAGGAGAAGAUUUAAUUUGCUUAGGAAUGAGGAUCAACUGUGUGACAUUUGUUUCCUGGUUUCUGUCUUCAUAUUUUUAAGAUCAGACCUUCAACAAUAAAGGUAAGUCACUUGUCUUAGAUGGUUUGUUACCGUCCUCUCCACACCAUCUGUUAGAUACAACCUCUCUCUGCUGACGUUUUUAACACAGACAGGCAAAUUUGAUCCAGGAACUUUGUUAUGGUAUGUACAAAUCUAAGUUUGCAGGCUCCAUGGACGUCAUUAACCCAAAAUAUCCCUAUUGGACCACACGAGACUGAGACCCAUCCUCUAGUCAUAGAUAGCCACAAGGAACAAAAAGGAAGCUCAGAUUUGUUUGGAAAGAUAGGCCAAUACUGGAGGUCCAUCCAAUACCUGAUGGAUUUGCUAUUACACAGCUGUUUUUUUUGUUUUGUUUGUUUGUUUUAGGGCUGCACCUUUGGCAUAUGGAAGUUCCCAGGCUAGGGGUCAAAUCAGAGCUACCGCUGCCGGCCUAUGAUACAGCCACAGCCACGUGGGAUCCAAGUUGCAACUGUGGUCUACACCACAGCUCAUGGCAAUGCCGGAUCCUUAACCCACUGAGCAAGGCCAGGGAUCGAACCUGCAUGCUCGUGGAUCCUAGUCAGGUUCAUUAACCCCUGAACCAUGACGGGAACUCCCUACACAGCUGUUCUUGCCUGGGAAGAGGAGCAGGGCACACUUGGACUGCUUUCCAAGAUUCUGUGACUCAGUGAUGAACUUCCAAGAACAACAGCACACCACUGGCUAAAACCAUCUGGGUAAGUUUACAAGAACUCAAAGCAGACUGGAUCAGAAAGGCAGCAAGAUUUUUGUUGUUUCCCAGUUGGAACCAGAGGCUGAUUCAAGGUUAAGAUUCAGCGAAAGCUGGCAGAUGUGCUACUUUUAUGGCCAUCAUCUGUCACUCAAGCAUUUUUGAGUUGUUUUCUCACUAGAGAUGAUCUCAUCCUUCUUUGCUCUGGGCUCCUUGCUACCAAAUUACAGCUUUUGAAAUGAAUACCCAGGUAGGGGUGCCAACUUUGGCGUUUCAACACCACUCUUGCUGCUCAUGUUCAGAGAGUUCAAGUGGCUUAAAAUUAAUGGAGGUCAUAAAACCAGUUAGUAUUGGAACACAGGUUGAACUCGGAUCUCUUAUCUUCUCUCUUUACCAUGCUGAAUUACAUAAAUCAUCCCAGUGUUUAAGAUAGAUUGCUUUUCCUCCCUGUGAUAAGUGGAACAAUGACACCCUCCCCGCCCCCCCACCCCCCGCCACACCCCUCCAUGUCUACACCCUAAACUGUGGAACCUAUGAAUAUGUUUUGUCCACAUGGCAAAGAGAAUUGGGGUUGCAGAUGGAAUUAAGAUUGCUAAUUAACUGAGUUUAUAACGGGGAGAUUAUCCUGGAUUAUCAGGACGAGUCCAAUGUAAUCACAGAGGUCUUGAAACGUGGAAGGAGGUAUAAGAGCCAGUGUUGGAGCGGAGGUGGCAUCAUGCAGCAGUGGAAACAAAUCUGACUAGGAACCAUGAGGUUUUCGGGUUCCAUCCCUGGCCUCGUGCAGUGGGUUAAGGAUCUGGCAUUGCCAUGAGCUGUGGUGUAGGUCGCAGAUGAAGCUCGGAUCUGGCAUUGCUGUGGCUGUGGCAUAGGACUGCAGCUGUAGCUCUGAUUCAAGCCCUAGUGUGGGAACGUCCACAUGCUGUGAGUGUGGCCCUAUAAAAAAGCAAAAAGCAAAAAAAAAAAAAAAAAAAAAAAAAAA
This 2467-nucleotide long non-coding RNA is filed under the name Sus scrofa (pig). RNAcentral's name for it is "lncRNA (ENSSSCG00060076548.1)". The record is from RNAcentral. Lineage: Eukaryota; Metazoa; Chordata; Mammalia; Artiodactyla; Suidae.